AUUGAACGCUGGCGGCAUGCCUUACACAUGCAAGUCGAACGGUAACAGGUCUUCGGAUGCUGACGAGUGGCGAACGGGUGAGUAAUACAUCGGAACGUGCCCGAGAGUGGGGGAUAACGAGGCGAAAGCUUUGCUAAUACCGCAUACGAUCUCAGGAUGAAAGCAGGGGACCGCAAGGCCUUGCGCUCACGGAGCGGCCGAUGGCAGAUUAGGUAGUUGGUGGGAUAAAAGCUUACCAAGCCGACGAUCUGUAGCUGGUCUGAGAGGACGACCAGCCACACUGGGACUGAGCCACGGCCCAGACUCCUACGGGAGGCAGCAGUGGGGAAUUUUGGACAAUGGGCGCAAGCCUGAUCCAGCCAUGCCGCGUGCAGGAUGAAGGCCUUCGGGUUGUAAACUGCUUUUGUACGGAACGAAAAGACUCUGGUUAAUACCUGGGGUCCAUGACGGUACCGUAAGAAUAAGCACCGGCUAACUACGUGCCAGCAGCCGCGGUAA
This 498-nucleotide ribosomal RNA is filed under the name uncultured bacterium. RNAcentral describes it as "partial 16S ribosomal RNA". It matches the Rfam family "Bacterial small subunit ribosomal RNA", at positions 30 to 523 of the family's 1533-position model. The record is from RNAcentral.